GCUUUCGUAGUGUAAUGGUUAGCACACUCGGGAUGUAUUCAAGAGUUGCAGGUUCGACUCCCGGCGAGGGCA
RNAcentral lists this transfer RNA (72 nucleotides) under Stegodyphus mimosarum. It matches the Rfam family "tRNA". From Rfam's summary of the family: Transfer RNA (tRNA) molecules are approximately 80 nucleotides in length. Their secondary structure includes four short double-helical elements and three loops (D, anti-codon, and T loops). Further hydrogen bonds mediate the characteristic L-shaped molecular structure. tRNAs have two regions of fundamental functional importance: the anti-codon, which is responsible for specific mRNA codon recognition, and the 3' end, to which the tRNAs corresponding amino acid is attached (by aminoacyl-tRNA synthetases). tRNAs cope with the degeneracy of the genetic code in two manners: having more than one tRNA (with a specific anti-codon) for a particular amino acid; and 'wobble' base-pairing, i.e. permitting non-standard base-pairing at the 3rd anti-codon position. The record is from Rfam by way of RNAcentral. Lineage: Eukaryota; Metazoa; Arthropoda; Arachnida; Araneae; Eresidae.